RNAcentral lists this ribosomal RNA (497 nucleotides) under uncultured bacterium. Its description in RNAcentral is "partial 16S ribosomal RNA". It matches the Rfam family "Bacterial small subunit ribosomal RNA", at positions 28 to 507 of the family's 1533-position model. The record is from RNAcentral.
GAUGAACGCUGGCGGCGUGCCUAAUACAUGCAAGUCGAGCGAAAAGAUCAGGAGCUGGCUCCUUUGACGUUAGGGGCGGACGGGUGAGUAACAGGAGGGUAACCUACCUAUAAGAAUGAGAUAACUACGGGAAACCGGAGCUAAUACCGGAUAACAAUUGGAACCGCAGGGUUCUAAAGUGAAAGAUGGUUGUGCUAUCACUUAUAGAUGGACCCGCGCCGUAUUAGCUAGUUGGUAAGGUAACGGCUUACCAAGGCAACGAUCCGUAGCCGACCUGAGAGGGUGGUAGGCCCCCCUGCAACUGAGCCACGGCCCAGACCCCUACGGGAGGCGGCAGAAGGGAAUCUUCCGCAAUGGACGAAAGCAUGACGGGACACCGCCGCGUGAGUGAUAAAGGGUUUCGGCUCGGAAAUCUCUGUUAUUAGUAAAAAACAAAUGUGUAAGUAACUGGGCACGUCUUGACGGUACCUAAUCAGAAAGCCACGGCUAACUACGUG